RNAcentral lists this ribosomal RNA (253 nucleotides) under uncultured bacterium. Its description in RNAcentral is "partial 16S ribosomal RNA". It matches the Rfam family "Bacterial small subunit ribosomal RNA", at positions 524 to 776 of the family's 1533-position model. The record is from RNAcentral.
UACGUAGGUGGCAAGCGUUGUCCGGAUUUACUAGGCGUAAAGGGCGUGCAGGCGGUUUGUUAAGUCUAGGGUGAAAGCUCCCGGCUCAACUGGGAGAGGUCCUUGGAUACUGGCAGACUUGAGGAGGGUAGAGGAGAGUGGAAUUCCCGGUGUAGUGGUGAUAUGCGUAGAUAUCGGGAGGAACACCAGUGGCGAAGGCGGCUCUCUGGGCCCUACCUGACGCUGAGACGCGAAAGCGUGGGGAGCGAACCGG